CCCUAAACCCAAACAUUUAAUCAACUAAAAUGUUCGCCAGAGCACUACUAGCAACAGCCUAAAACUUAAAGGACUUGGCGGUGCUUCAUACCCCCCUAGAGGAACCUGUCCUAUAAUCGACAUACCCCGAUAAACCUCACCACCCCUAGCCAACACAGCCUAUAUACCGCCAUCCCCAGCAAACCUUAGAAAGAACCACAGUAAGCACAACUAUUAACCACAAGCACGUUAGGUCAAGGUGUAGCCAAUGAGGUGGAAAGAGAUGGGUUACAUUUUCUUACAAAAGAAAAUCAACGAAAGUUUCUAUGAAACCCUAGAAACCAAAGGAGGAUUUAGAAGUAAAUCAAGAAUAGAGAGCUUUAUUGAACC
Molecule: ribosomal RNA, 369 nt
Filed under: Choloepus didactylus (southern two-toed sloth)
Lineage: Eukaryota; Metazoa; Chordata; Mammalia; Pilosa; Megalonychidae
Description: small subunit ribosomal RNA
Rfam family: Bacterial small subunit ribosomal RNA
Source: RNAcentral